CCAAACUUGGUCAUUUAGAGGAAGUAAAAGUCGUAACAAGGUCUCCGUUGGUGAACCAGCGGAGGGAUCAUUAGCGAGUUAAUAAUAAACUCCAAACCCGUGUGAACUUACCUACUGUUGCCUCGGCAGGUCCGUGCUACACGGUACGGAAAGCUACCCUGGAGCUACCCUGUAGCUACCCUGGAGCUGGCCUACCCUAGAGAGGAGCUACCCUGGAGGUGAAAGAAACUCAGGCGAGCGGCUACCCUAGAGUAGGAAAGCUCUCAGCGGGCGAGCACCUACCCUGUAGCACAUGGCCAGGCCUGCCGAAGGCCCCCUAAACUCUGUUUUAUAACUAAAUCUCUGAGCGAACUAUACAAAUAAGUUAAAACUUUCAACAACGGAUCUCUUGGUUCUGGCAUCGAUGAAGAACGCAGC
Molecule: unclassified non-coding RNA, 417 nt
Filed under: uncultured fungus
Lineage: Eukaryota; Fungi
Description: partial contains small subunit ribosomal RNA, internal transcribed spacer 1, and 5.8S ribosomal RNA
Rfam family: Eukaryotic small subunit ribosomal RNA (bases 1-73)
Source: RNAcentral